UGUGGCUUCUUGGGUAACCAAGAGUCUGCUUGUGUGUCUUAGUUAUCAUAGCAAUACUUAGUAUCAUAAUUAAAUAGAGGUAUUUUCUAAUUCUUCUGUUUUUAAUUUCAAAGAUUUAUUUAUUUGAAAGGCAGAGCUCUAUAGAGAGGGAGAGAAACUAGAAAAAGGAUCUUCCAUCCACAGGUUCAAUCCUUGAAUGGCCACAAUGGCCAGGGCUGAGCCAGGCUGAAUCAACAAGCCCGAUCUCCAUCUGGGUCUCCCACAUGGCGGCAGGGACCCAAGUUCUUGGCUCUUCUGCUUCCCAACAAGCUCCCUGCUAAUUCUAUUGGGAAAGUAGCAGAAGAAUGCAGAUGGAGUUCCUGGCUCUUGGCUUUGGUUGACCCAGCUCAAGACCUUUGUGGUCAUUUGGGGAGUGAACCAGUGGGUGGAGGAUCUCUCUCUCUGUCUGUCUCUCCCUCUCACUUUAUCACUUGCUCUGCCUUUCAAAUAAAUAAAUAAUGCUUAAAAAUGGAGAAUCAUUCUGUUCAUACUUAGACCUCAAGCCUGCAUGUUAAGAACUUACUAAUUUCAUAUCUAAAAUUGUCUUCUAGAGAGGAUUUUGUCCAUCUUAUUAUAAUAUCGUAUGAUGAGUGGUUAUAUACAGUUCAUGUUUUGUAAGGAGAAAAUUUGACACAUCUCCAAUUAGGUCAUCAGUUGUUUGAAGGCAGAUUGGAAAACCAAGGAAUGUGUUGCCCAUGAUGGAGGUGAGAGUAUUUUACUGCUUCUGCUCUCCAUUUGUCCCAAGACUAGCACAGCACUUGGGAAAGCAGUAACUCAGCCAUGAUGAAUACAGUAAAUCACAUGAUUACAUAUAUUUGAAUGAAUGAGUUGGUACUAAUUUUUUUCAGAUCCCAAGAAGGAAAUUACAAGUCUGAAGUCAACAGCAAACCCAGGAAGGAAAGGACAGCAUUUACCAAGAGCAAAUCCAAGGACUAGAAGCAGAAUUUGCCCAUCACAACUAUGUGACUAGACUGAGGAGAUACAAGAUAGCAGAGAAUCUGGAUCUCACCAAAAGACAGGUGAAAGUGUGGUUCCAGAACAGGCGGAUGAAGAGGAAGAGGGUAAAAUUGGGCCAGCCGGGCACUGCUGCCUGAGAAAAGGAACUGGUGAACGUGAAGAAAGGAACCCUGCUCCCUUCAGAGCUGUCAGGGAUUGGUGCGGCCACGCUCCAGCAAACAGGGGACUCUCUGGACAAUGAAGACAGCCACAACAGCGACCACAGCUCCGAGCAUGCACACUUAUGAUCCACACAGACAGGACCAGCUCCAUCCUCAGGAAAGAAGCACCGUGAUGGCAAGCCUUACCCAACAGAGUUUACACAGAGAGAUGGCCAUGGCCAUGAUUUUUAAUAUUAUCAAAUUCAGGCAUCAUGGGUCUGUUUUGCAUGAUUUAUAGAGGAAGGAAGUGUCACUUAUCAAAGAUGUUUCCAUGAUGAAAAUCAGAAGAAAUGGUGUCAGACAAGGAGCAAAGCCAAAUGGGCUCCCCAAGGGGAUAGACAAAACAAUUCUGAAUGUCUUCAAAUUAAAUUCAGUAAAAACACAUUAUUUUUUAAUAUGUGAUGUAUUCUUGCAGAACAACCAUCUUUGUAUUUUGUGAAAAAUGUUUAAUAAAUGAUCCUUUAUAAAUAAUUUUGGUCUCCCCAUUGUAAUUUCUUUAAUUUCUAUAGAUUUUAAUAUUCAUAUCUAAGAGCGCCCCAGACUCAUCUGCUCUGUACUAAUUCAGAUCAAGAUCAUUAAUGAAUCACAGGUUUUCAUUUGUAGAUUUAUUAUGUCAAGAAAAAAAUCAAUCCUUGGGUGAUCAAAGAGAAUCUAAACAUCAUCAUACAGUAAACCAUUUUCUUAAUUUGAAGAAUAUGGCAAAUGAAUGUUUUUGUGUGUUUUACAAAGCAAAGAUAAAAGGGAACAGGUAACACUAACUGCCACAACUAAUAAGUAAAGUAGUCAUAUAUUUUAAAAUUU
This is a non-coding RNA of Oryctolagus cuniculus (rabbit), 1997 nucleotides long. The record is from RefSeq and is a predicted model, not a curated record. NCBI's taxonomy places the organism in Eukaryota, Metazoa, Chordata, Mammalia, Lagomorpha, Leporidae.